CCUUAAACAAGCCUUUGGCCUAUGGAGAUUCUGUCCAUCCACAGUCAGAAACAAAUGUGAGCAGAGAAUGGUCCAAAGGCAAGGCUGUUCUGCCAAGCACAGCAAGCUAGCAGAAUCCACCGAGUCCUGAGCUUGAGCAUACUUGAAGACUUUCCUUGCUUGAACCGUGUAUCCGAGGCCACUGGUGCUCCACCAAAAUCUAGGGGGUUUUCCCCUCCUAUAAUAACAAGAUUAUAACUGAGUACGAGACUGGACUACAUUUCCUGGCUCUCUUAAAGGUAUAUACAGCCUCCUGAGUUCCAUCACUCCAGAGCAAUGAGAGGAGAUGUACCUGCUACUCCUGAACCUGAGGUUUCAUUCAUAUACUUUUGCUAAUGCAGAUGGCAAUAAGGCUCCAAACCAGUAGCUAUCACUCCCCUGAGAAAAUACAGCAUUAAAAAUGAUGGUAUUGAUUGCCACAACUGGGAGAUAUUGCUGGCACCUGGGGAAGACAGUUCAGUAAUUCUGAAAAACAGUCCACGAUGCACAACUCAAUAUCCCACAGCAGACUAUGUCAGUCACGGCAAGGCUGAGAACAUCUACUGAAGGGGAUGACAGAGGAGAUUUUCACCUGUGAUUUAAGAAGAAGAAGGAGGAGGAGGAGGAGGAGGAGAAGUAAAACAUGAUGAUGAAUGACUUUCUCAAUGCUGAAGCUAGUGUGACUACCUUCUGGACAGAGAGGAAGAAGGAUUCUCUCUAAGGCAAAGCAGUUUCUCACCCUUGCAUUCAGAAUCUAUAGGUGCUUCCACAGGAGAGUUCCAAAACAAGGAAAACCAAAUAAGAAAGAGUGACUUUGACCCUUACUUUUACUGUUCUUCCAAAAUAAGUAUUUUUAAAAUAUAAUUUGAGGUACAAACAUCUAGAAGACUAAGAGAGGCAACACUUGCAAAGUCAUGGAUCCAGUUUUACUUCCUACAACUCUUCCUUGAAGCAUUUAAGAGAACCAGUCCCACUAAAGAUCUAGCUCAGUGGUAGAGUACUUGACUAGUAUAUAUGAGAUUCUAAGUUCAGUCCUCAGUACUGGGAGGAAUAGAUAGAUGACAGAUGAGACAUAGAUAGAUAAAUAGAUAGAUAGAUAGAUAGAUAGAUAGAUAGAUAGAUAGAUAGAUAGAUAGAUAGACUGAAAGACCUUAGAUGAGAGAUACAGAUAGAUGAUAGAUAGAAAUGGUAGAUAGAUGAUACAUACAUACAUACAUGAAUGCAUGCAUACAUACAUACAUAGAUGAGAAAUAAAUCAAUUCUGCAAUUAUUAGAAUAUUGUUUAAAACAUGCAUGCCAUGAUAAAUUAAACAACACCAUGAUAAAUCCACGACACUAACAGUAACAUCAUAUGAAGUGUGGCAUUAUUCUUAGACAAUUUCACUCAAGCAAAUACUUUCUUUUCUCUAUGUGUACCCCUUAAGUAUGUGCCUCUAAAGGUCUAAUAUUAGGAAGUUAUACUAUACUAAUGGAAAGGGAUUAUAGUGCAUUACCAAGAAAGAAACAUCAUAUCAGUAUACUUUCAUGUUAAACAAAAAUGGAAUUUUUUUUAAAUUUUUAAAAAAUACAAUUCAUCUUCCCCCAGUUCCUCCUUGACACCUGCAGCAGAUAGGAGAGCUGGUCCUGCCCCUCUCAAGCUGCAGCACUUGAAAGAGCAGGCCCUGCACCUCACCUGGGCAGCACAGUAGAGCUGAUCCUGUUGGUGUGAGGACAGGAUGAAGUUGGAGAAGUUUUGUCCAAGCAAAGGGAGACCACCAAUAAGGAGUCGUGACAAAGAGAGGGGAGCCUGUGUAAAAAGCGGGGAGUACAUUUUUUUAAAUGUGUGUCAUCACUUUUGAAUUUGAACAUGUUGAAAAGUAAAUGUUGCUAUCAAUGAACAUCUUUGAACCACUGCCCAUACUGAACAAAUCACUACCUUUUUGCUCUUGUGAGAUCCUUUGCUUCUUUUUCCUGCUGUUUUUGUCAUAUGCUUUGCCGAGAAUCCUCUCCAAUCACCUCAGCUUAUCUCAUAAACAGGAAAGGAAUUUUCUACUUUAUGUUUUCUCUUAUUGAAAUAAAGAAAAAUAAAGGAAAUAGAUUCAUUUCUCAUACAGUAUAUCCUGAUUAUAAUUUUCCCUCCUUCUUCUCCCAUUCCU
Peromyscus maniculatus bairdii (prairie deer mouse) is the source of this 2153-nucleotide non-coding RNA. Lineage: Eukaryota; Metazoa; Chordata; Mammalia; Rodentia; Cricetidae. The record is from RefSeq and is a predicted model, not a curated record.